CAAGUAGAUUGCCUUAUCGCAGUGACUAUAAAUGCCACUGAGGAAAGUCCGAACACCAUAGUGCAACAUAGUGGCUAACAGCCACCAGUCGUGAGGCUAGGAAAAGUGCAACAGAAAGAAUGUACAGGUCAUGCUGUAGUGAAACCAGGUAAACUCUAUGUGGUGCAAUGUCAUGUAAACCAAUGUUUGAGCGUAGCACGCGCGAUGUUGGAGGGUAGACAGCUAAAGUUUGCUGGUAACAGUAAAUGUAGAUAAAUGAUAAGGCCGUGACACGGUAACGUCGUCAUCGGACAGAAUUCGGCUUAUAGAUUUACUUAAUUA
This 321-nucleotide RNase P RNA is filed under the name Gaetbulibacter sp. S0825. Its description in RNAcentral is "RNase P RNA component class A". It matches the Rfam family "Bacterial RNase P class A". From Rfam's summary of the family: Ribonuclease P (RNase P) is a ubiquitous endoribonuclease, found in archaea, bacteria and eukarya as well as chloroplasts and mitochondria. Its best characterised activity is the generation of mature 5'-ends of tRNAs by cleaving the 5'-leader elements of precursor-tRNAs. RNAcentral also lists the same sequence under 1 other name. Lineage: Bacteria; Pseudomonadati; Bacteroidota; Flavobacteriia; Flavobacteriales; Flavobacteriaceae. The record is from RNAcentral.